AUAGACAUAAAUUUGAAGUUUGCCCUACCUAUCAAAGCAAACUUGAAUUUUUCCAGCCUCUCCUCAUAUGCCUCCUGCGGGAUGAUAAUCUUAGUGUGCGCCCCAGCAUGUAUUGGAUCCGGCAACUGCUCCACGUCCGGUUUCCAGAAAUCAGUAAGGCGAAGUUGCCUGCCCCUAUCCGGCGGUCUUCCUCCCCCUGGGUCAUGAUCCAUAUCUCUACCAUCAUCUACCACUUUCAAAAACGCCAUUGUCCUAUAGAUCACUUGUAUCCUUCGGACGCUUUCAGAAAUUCAGAUCUACUCGGAUCUGCUUUCCUCUUCUUCCUGCAAAUGGAUGAUGCGCAAAAACCGAACCAAGGGAGGAAGCGUGCUGGGCGUGUGUGAGAAUCAAGAGUACCAAAGUCUGCUCAAGAUCCGAAACUCAAGAUCUGAAACUCAAGAUCUGAAGUCGUCCUGAGAUCCGAAACUCUCGGAUCUGCUUGGAUCUGCUGCUUCUCCGACGAGGCGACGACCUGCUAUUGCAGCUAUCGAUGCUACUGCAUCUUUCGACGAGGGAAGAAGAAGAAGAGGAAGAAGAAGACUGCCUCUCUCUCUCUCUCUCUCUCGCUUCGUUUCGGUUCUAAAGCCUCAGUAGAAGACAACUGCUACUGCUACUGUCGACGACUCGACGGCAGAGUUCCGACGACUCGACGGCAGAGUUCUCUCUCUCUCUCUCCUCUCUCAAGGAUCAGAUUGUGCCGACGACUCGACGGCAGGGUUCUCUCUCUCUUCUUCCAAAAUCGUCCUGAGAUCCGAAACCGGAUCUGCUCGGAUCUGCGACUUCACUCGAUGCCCCAGUUCCGACGAGGCGACGACCUGCUAUUGCAGCUAUCGACGCCUGAGUUUCCCGAUCGGCUAUUGUCGGUGCCCGAGAUCGGCUGUUGUCGGUGCUCUCUGCUCUCCACCCCUCAGUUGGUCUCUUUCAAGUAAAAGAUUUAGAGUUGAAACAUAUUGAGGAAAUAAUCCAACAUAUUGACAAUCUAGAGUAAUUAAAGCAAAAGAGAAGAAAGUUUAUUGAAAGUCAUAAAGUCUAUAUACUUAGUGUAGGAGGAAGAGUCACCAUAUUAGGUUUGUGCCUUAUUUUCUUUGUGCAGCGAUCAGAAAAUCUGAUGCCCGUAAGAAAAAUUGAAGAACAAACUCGUUAUUACUCUUUUUUUUUUUUAUCAAAAAAAUUACUCGUUAUUGAGUUGAUCUAG
Long non-coding RNA from Macadamia integrifolia, 1234 nucleotides. RefSeq lists it as uncharacterized. Lineage: Eukaryota; Viridiplantae; Streptophyta; Magnoliopsida; Proteales; Proteaceae. The record is from RefSeq and is a predicted model, not a curated record. The transcript is spliced from 2 exons.